This 497-nucleotide ribosomal RNA is filed under the name uncultured bacterium. RNAcentral's name for it is "partial 16S ribosomal RNA". It matches the Rfam family "Bacterial small subunit ribosomal RNA", at positions 28 to 507 of the family's 1533-position model. The record is from RNAcentral.
GAUGAACGCUGGCGGCGUGCCUAAUACAUGCAAGUCGAGCGAACAGACGAGGAGCUUGCUCCUCUGACGUUAGCGGCGGACGUGUGAGUAACACGUGGAUAACCUACCUAUAAGACUGGGAUAACUUCGGGAAACCGGAGCUAAUACCGGAUAAUAUAUUGAACCGCAUGGUUCAAUAGUGAAAGACGGUUUUGCUGUCACUUAUAGAUGGAUCCGCGCCGCAUUAGCUAGUUGGUAAGGUAACGGCUUACCAAGGCAACGAUGCGUAGCCGACCUGAGAGGGUGAUCGGCCACACUGGAACUGAGACGCGGUCCAGACUCCUACGGGAGGCAGCAGUAGGGAAUCUUCCGCAAUGGGCGAAAGCCUGACGGAGCAACGCCGCGUGAGUGAUGAAGGUCUUCGGAUCGUAAAACUCUGUUAUUAGGGAAGAACAAAUGUGUAAGUAACUAUGCACGUCUUGACGGUACCUAAUCAGAAAGCCACGGCUAACUACGUG